This 348-nucleotide ribosomal RNA is filed under the name Triticum aestivum (bread wheat). Its description in RNAcentral is "partial small subunit ribosomal RNA". Lineage: Eukaryota; Viridiplantae; Streptophyta; Magnoliopsida; Poales; Poaceae. The record is from RNAcentral.
AUGUUAAAUUUAGUUGAAGAAGAAAACAAUUACUUGAAGGAAAAAAUAAAAAAAAUUGAGGAGGAGAAGAUGAUAUUGGAGUUACAUGUUGCGGAUGUCGUCGAUGAUCACAAGAUCAAGAUGCAUGCAAUGCGGUUGAAGAUUAGAAAGAUUAGAAAAUAUGCCAUUCAUUCCGAAGCUUGGUAUCAUUAUACCGUUGGAUCAAUUGUUACCUUAGUUGUGAUUAUGAUCGCAUUUGUUGUUGCAUUGAAAGGUUUUACAAAGUUUCAAUGUAUGGUUUUACUAGAUGCUCUGGAGAGCUAUAAGUUGUUCAAUUUGAACUAUGUACGUACUUUGGUUUUAAUGUGA